Molecule: ribosomal RNA, 641 nt
Filed under: Mrakia sp. CBS 8914
Lineage: Eukaryota; Fungi; Basidiomycota; Tremellomycetes; Cystofilobasidiales; Mrakiaceae
Also listed under: 1 other name
Description: eukaryotic LSU rRNA
Rfam family: 5.8S ribosomal RNA (bases 192-345)
Source: RNAcentral
UCCGUAGGUGAACCUGCGGAAGGAUCACUAUUGAUUAAAUCGAGAGUGUCUUCAUUGACCUCUCACCCUUCACAUCCACAUACACCUGUGCACCGUUUGGCUCUUUUAAAAGACGCAAGUCUGCAAAGAGAGUCAUCAAUUUUAUACAUACCCCAGUCUUAUGAAUGUAACAGUUUUAAUAAACAUAAUAAAACUUUUAACAACGGAUCUCUUGGUUCUCGCAUCGAUGAAGAACGCAGCGAAAUGCGAUAAGUAAUGUGAAUUGCAGAAUUCAGUGAAUCAUCGAAUCUUUGAACGCACCUUGCGCUCCUUGGUAUUCCGAGGAGCAUGCCUGUUUGAGUGUCAUGAAACUCUCAACCUUCAACUUUUUUAUUAAGGCUGAAGGCUUGGACUUGAGCGCUGCUGGUUUUCACUAACCGGCUCGCUUGAAAUGAAUUAGCAGAUCCUUUUUGUAAUCGGUUCCACUCGACGUGAUAAGUAUUUCGCCGAGGACAUAUGAAAGUAUGGCCGAGAUAAGAGAAGUCUUUUAGAUCCGCUUCUAAUUCUUAGAUCAAGCUUGCUUGACUAAACCCCAUUUUAUGAUCUGGCCUCAAAUCAGGUAGGACUACCCGCUGAACUUAAGCAUAUCAAUAAGCGGAGGA